Molecule: ribosomal RNA, 610 nt
Filed under: Marinobacter sp.
Lineage: Bacteria; Pseudomonadati; Pseudomonadota; Gammaproteobacteria; Pseudomonadales; Marinobacteraceae
Description: bacterial SSU rRNA
Rfam family: Bacterial small subunit ribosomal RNA
Source: RNAcentral
CUGGGGCAGCUUACCAUGCAGUCGAGCGGUAACAGGGGGUGCUUGCACCCCGCUGACGAGCGGCGGACGGGUGAGUAAUGCAUAGGAAUCUGCCCAGUAGUGGGGGAUAGCCCGGGGAAACCCGGAUUAAUACCGCAUACGCCCUUUGGGAGAAAGCAGGGGAUCUUCGGACCUUGCGCUAUUGGAUGAGCCUAUGUCGGAUUAGCUAGUUGGUGGGGUAAAGGCCUACCAAGGCGACGAUCCGUAGCUGGUCUGAGAGGAUGAUCAGCCACAUCGGGACUGAGACACGGCCCGAACUCCUACGGGAGGCAGCAGUGGGGAAUAUUGGACAAUGGGGGCAACCCUGAUCCAGCCAUGCCGCGUGUGUGAAGAAGGCUUUCGGGUUGUAAAGCACUUUCAGUGAGGAGGAAAACCUUCUGGUUAAUACCCAUGAGGCUUGACGUUACUCACAGAAGAAGCACCGGCUAACUCCGUGCCAGCAGCCGCGGUAAUACGGAGGGUGCAAGCGUUAAUCGGAAUUACUGGGCGUAAAGCGCGCGUAGGUGGUUUGAUAAGCGAGAUGUGAAAGCCCCGGGCUUAACCUGGGAACGGCAUUUCGAACUGUCAGGCU